GAGACUGCCGGUACAAACCGGAGGAAGGUGGGGAUGACGUCAGGUCCUCAUGGCCCUUAUGGGUAGGGCUACACACGUCAUACAAUGGCCGGUACAGAGGGCUGCCAACCCGCGAGGGGGAGCCAAUCCCAGAAAACCGGUCGUAGUCCGGAUCGUAGUCUGCAACUCGACUGCGUGAAGUCGGAAUCGACUAGUAAUCGCGGAUCAGCUUGCCGCGGUGAAUACGUUCCCGGGUCUUGUACACACCGCCCGUCACACCAUGGGAGUUGGAUUCACUCGAAGGCGUUGAGCUAACCCGCAAGGGAGGCAGGCGACCACAGUGGGUUUAGCGACUGGGGUGAAGUCGUAACAAGGUAACCAAUC
RNAcentral lists this ribosomal RNA (363 nucleotides) under uncultured bacterium. RNAcentral's name for it is "bacterial SSU rRNA". It matches the Rfam family "Bacterial small subunit ribosomal RNA", at positions 1145 to 1505 of the family's 1533-position model. The record is from RNAcentral.